This is a non-coding RNA of Schistosoma curassoni, 45 nucleotides long. The record is from Rfam. Lineage: Eukaryota; Metazoa; Platyhelminthes; Trematoda; Strigeidida; Schistosomatidae.
AUUCUUCUGACGAGUCCUAAAUGGGACGAAACAUGAGUCGUGGAU